This 508-nucleotide ribosomal RNA is filed under the name uncultured Glomus. Its description in RNAcentral is "SSU rRNA". It matches the Rfam family "Eukaryotic small subunit ribosomal RNA", at positions 569 to 1078 of the family's 1831-position model. The record is from RNAcentral. Lineage: Eukaryota; Fungi; Glomeromycota; Glomeromycetes; Glomerales; Glomeraceae.
AGCAGCCGCGGUAAUUCCAGCUCCAAUAGCGUAUAUUAAAGUUGUUGCAGUUAAAAAGCUCGUAGUUGAAUUUCGGGGUUAGUAGGUUGGUCAUGCCUCUGGUAUGUACUGGUCUCACUGAUUCCUCCUUCCUUAUGAACCGUAAUGCCAUUAAUUUGGUGUUGCGGGGAAUUUGGACUGUUACUUUGAAAAAAUUAGAGUGUUUAAAGCAAGCUAACGCUUGAAUACAUUAGCAUGGAAUAAUGAAAUAGGACGUUCGAUCUUAUUUUGUUGGUUUCUAGGAUUGACGUAAUGAUUAAUAGGGAUAGUUGGGGGCAUUAGUAUUCAAUUGUCAGAGGUGAAAUUCUUGGAUUUAUUGAAGACUAACUACUGCGAAAGCAUUUGCCAAGGAUGUUUUCAUUAAUCAAGAACGAAAGUUAGGGGAUCGAAGACGAUCAGAUACCGUCGUAGUCUUAACCAUAAACUACGCCGACUAGGGAUCGGAUGAUGUUAAUUUUUUAAUGACUCA